RNAcentral lists this ribosomal RNA (253 nucleotides) under uncultured bacterium. RNAcentral's name for it is "partial 16S ribosomal RNA". It matches the Rfam family "Bacterial small subunit ribosomal RNA", at positions 524 to 776 of the family's 1533-position model. The record is from RNAcentral.
UACGUAGGGGGCAAGCGUUGUCCGGAAUCAUUGGGCGUAAAGAGCGUGUAGGCGGUCCGGUAAGUCGGCUGUGAAAGUCCAGGGCUCAACCCUGGGAUGCCGGUCGAUACUGCCGGACUAGAGUUCGGAAGAGGCGAGUGGAAUUCCCGGUGUAGCGGUGAAAUGCGCAGAUAUCAGGAAGAACACCAAUGGCGAAGGCAGCUCUCUGGGACGGUACUGACACUGAGACGCGAAAGCGUGGGGAGCGAACAGG